Molecule: non-coding RNA, 1880 nt
Organism: Amborella trichopoda
Lineage: Eukaryota; Viridiplantae; Streptophyta; Magnoliopsida; Amborellales; Amborellaceae
Source: RefSeq, a predicted model, not a curated record
ACCAAGGAGGAGUCAAAUGUGAAGAGAAUGGAGCUAACGCUAUGCUGGUAGUUCCGCGAUGUUCCAGUCGAAGGUCACGGCCACGUCCUCGCGCUUCUUCAUGUUAACGGAGAUGAGAAUAUCUCUCAGUUCCGUAACCUUCGAUCGAUCAUCCAAUUUCGCAUCUGAAGCCCAAGAAUUGCAAGCGAGAUCCUGGAUGAAUAGCAUGAGAAAUAUCACGGCGUUGCAUUACUUUGCCAGGCCAAAACAGAGAAGCCCCAAUGCAAUAUAGAGCCCUCUCUCUCUCUCUCUAAAAUCAGAAUGCUCAUCCUUUUAUCUCUGUCUAUGUUUCAUAUAUAUAAACCACUCACUCGACCCAGAGCUCUCUCUCUCUCUCUCUGUGACACACUCACUGAUUCAUGAAUUCUCAAAGAAUGAGGAGAUGGCUCGUAGAAUCAGCCAUGGCCAUUCCGGGCCAAAGGGAAGAGGCUCGUGAGGAAAACUUAUUCAUGACGAUGUUGUCCGAGAUGGUAGACAGAUUCGAUGACAUGGCCGACUACAUGACCACCAUCUCAUGCACAACCGGCCAUUGACCACUCAACAGAAAGGAGCGCAACAUGCUGUUCCUGGCCUUCAAAUCCCUGGUCAAGCCUCGCAGUGCCUCAUGGCGCAAGAUUAAAGACAUAGAAAGGGUCGAGGAAGAACCCCACUGCUUGGCUAUCAUUACGGAUUAGCUCUCACGAAUCGAGUCCGAGAUCGUUUCCAUCUGUGAGCGUGUCCACCAUCUUCUCAACUCCUACCUCAUUCCAUCUGAGGACUCUGCCAAAGCCAGGGUCUUCUACCGGCAGAUGAAGGCCGACUACUUUGGGUACCUCGCUGAGAUCAAGACCGAUGAACAAAUGCUAAUUGAGGCCUACAAAGCCCACUUGAACUAUGAAGGGGCCAUGGAAACAAACUAUUGGGGCAUAUCUUUCUUAUUUCUUGGUUUUCUUUGCUAUCUAGAUCAAUUUUUGGGGUUUCUUCAUGUCUACUCAAGAAAGUGAGGAGGGUUUGAUCUGGUGUUUGCCUCUCUUCAGAUAAUCACGAUGGCGGAACUGAGACCUGCAAACACCACCAGGCUAGGGGCACCUCUCAAUUUUGCGGUAUUCAAAGCGGAUAUCCUCAAUUCCACCAAAGAGGCUUAUGCUUUGGCUGUAGAGUCGUUCCAAGAGGUCUUAGAGGGGUUGGAUGAGCAUGAAGAUGACCUCGAUGAGAGAGGGUCCAUCACGUACUCCAUUUCCGAUAAUAUAGAACUCUGGACCUCCGACUAAGGUCCAGGAGGUUGAAGGGGAUCACAAUAUCGAAAAGGCCGAAUGGGGGGAAAGUAGUCGAGUUUGUUCUCGGAUUCUCGUGUCCCCGUCCACAAAGAAAACCUAGACGAGCAGCCUUCCAACCCACUAUCUUCCCAAGAAUUCCUUUUUUCAUUUUGGUGCAAAACUGAUUCCAGUCACGACAUGGAUCUGUGUUUCUUUGCUUCAUGUACACGGCAUAAAAAGCAAUUUCUUUCAGUAUGUCGUCAGUGGAAGGGGUUCAUUUCAGUUCGUGGUUAGUUAUCUGUUUUCUUGCGAAGAAUGUUAAGAAAUUUGCACCUCCAAUUCUUUUCUGAGUGACGGAUUUCAAUCCCUUCUUUCUUUUUAGUAUGACGGAUUUUGGAUUGGAUUUAAGAAAAGUGACUCCGAUGAAUAGGCGUGGAAGAGUUGAGGGCACGGGUAUAUGUUAGAGAGAGAGAGGGACUGGAAUGAUUACACAGAAAAAUUAGCUUGAACUUGCCGGGGAAUGCACACACGCCUCAAAUUUGAGAUAUAUCUAAUUUGUACAAUAAUUAUGAAAAUUUAAAUAGACAAUUGUGACCGUAUGAUGAA